GAUGAACGCUGGCGGCAUGCUUUACACAUGCAAGUCGAACGGUAACAGGUUAAGCUGACGAGUGGCGAACGGGUGAGUAAUGCAUCGGAACGUGCCCGGUCGUGGGGGAUAACGCAGCGAAAGCUGCGCUAAUACCGCAUACGAUCUGAGGAUGAAAGCGGGGGACCGUAAGGCCUCGCGCGAUCGGAGCGGCCGAUGUCAGAUUAGGUAGUUGGUGGGGUAAAGGCUCACCAAGCCAACGAUCUGUAGCUGGUCUGAGAGGACGACCAGCCACACGGGGACUGAGACACGGCACAGACUCCUACGGGAGGCAGCAGGGGGGAAUUUUGGACAAUGGGCGAAAGCCUGAUUCAGCAAUGCCGCGUGCAGGAAGAAGGCCUUCGGGUUGUAAACUGCUUUUGUACGGAGCGAAAAGGUCUCCUCUAAUACAGGGGGCUCAUGACGGUACCGUAAGAAUAAGCACCGGCUAACUACGUGCCAGCAGCCGCGGUAA
RNAcentral lists this ribosomal RNA (493 nucleotides) under uncultured bacterium. RNAcentral describes it as "partial 16S ribosomal RNA". It matches the Rfam family "Bacterial small subunit ribosomal RNA", at positions 28 to 523 of the family's 1533-position model. The record is from RNAcentral.